AACGAACGCUGGCGGCAUGCCUAACACAUGCAAGUCGAACGAGACCUUCGGGUCUAGUGGCGCACGGGUGCGUAACGCGUGGGAACCUGCCCUUAGGUUCGGAAUAACUCCCCGAAAGGGGUGCUAAUACAGGAUAAUGUCUUCGGACCAAAGAUUUAUCGCCUUUGGAUGGGCCCGCGUUGGAUUAGCUAGUUGGUAGGGUAAAAGCCUACCAAGGCGACGAUCCAUAGCUGGUCUGAGAGGAUGAUCAGCCACACUGGGACUGCGACACGGCCCAGACUCCUACGGGAGGCAGCAGUGGGGAAUAUUGGACAAUGGGCGAAAGCCUGAUCCAGCAAUGCCGCGUGAGUGAUGAAGGCCUUAGGGUUGUAAAGCUCUUUUACCCGGGAUGAUAAUGACAGUACCGGGAGAAUAAGCUCCGGCUAACUCCGU
RNAcentral lists this ribosomal RNA (432 nucleotides) under uncultured bacterium. RNAcentral describes it as "partial 16S ribosomal RNA". It matches the Rfam family "Bacterial small subunit ribosomal RNA", at positions 29 to 506 of the family's 1533-position model. The record is from RNAcentral.